Molecule: ribosomal RNA, 411 nt
Filed under: uncultured eukaryote
Lineage: Eukaryota
Description: partial small subunit ribosomal RNA
Rfam family: Eukaryotic small subunit ribosomal RNA
Source: RNAcentral
GCUUGUCUCAAAGAUUAAGCCAUGCAUGUCUAAGUAUAAACAAGUUUAUACGGUGAAACUGCGUACAGCUCAUUAUAUCAGUUAUGAUUUAUUUGAUGGUACCUUACUACAUGGAUACCCGUAGUAAUUCUAGAGCUAAUACAUGCGUAAAAUCCCGACUACUUGUUGGAAGGGAUGUAUUUAUUAGAUUCAAACCCAAUGCAGUAGCAAUACUGGUUCAAUUGGUGACUCAUAGUAACUUGUCGAAUCGCAUGGCCUUGUGCUGGCGAUAGUUCAUUCAAAUUUCUGCCCUAUCAGCUUUCGAUGGUAGUGUAGUGGACUACCAUGGCUUUAACGGGUGACGGAGAAUUAGGGUUCGAUUCCGGAGAGGGAGCCUGAGAAACGGCUACCACAUCCAAGGAAGGCAGCAGG